Molecule: ribosomal RNA, 306 nt
Filed under: uncultured bacterium
Lineage: Bacteria
Description: partial 16S ribosomal RNA
Rfam family: Bacterial small subunit ribosomal RNA
Source: RNAcentral
GACAGCAGUAGCCGCGGGAAUACGAAGGGGGCUAGCGUUGUUCGGAUUUACUGGGCGUAGAGGGCGCGUAGGCGGACUGAUAAGUCAGGGGUGAAAUCCCAAGGCUCAACCUUGGAACUGCCUUUGAUACUGUUUGUCUUGAGUUCGAGAGAGGUAAGUGGAACUGCGAGUGUAGAGGUGAAAUUCGUAGAUAUUCGCAAGAACACCAGUGGCGAAGGCAGCUUACUGGCUCGAAACUGACGCUGAGGCGCGAAAGCGUGGGGAGCAAACAGGAUUAGAUACCCGGGUAGUCCCUGUCUCUUAUAC